GGUUCUAUGGUGUAGUGGUUAUCACAUCUGCUUUACACGCAGAAGGUCCUGGGUUCAAAACCCAGUGAAACCA
Molecule: non-coding RNA, 73 nt
Organism: Epinephelus moara (kelp grouper)
Lineage: Eukaryota; Metazoa; Chordata; Actinopteri; Perciformes; Serranidae
Source: the annotation of a RefSeq genome assembly